This 661-nucleotide ribosomal RNA is filed under the name Lactococcus lactis. RNAcentral's name for it is "bacterial SSU rRNA". It matches the Rfam family "Bacterial small subunit ribosomal RNA", at positions 48 to 694 of the family's 1533-position model. Lineage: Bacteria; Bacillati; Bacillota; Bacilli; Lactobacillales; Streptococcaceae. The record is from RNAcentral.
UCUAUAAUGCAGUUGAGCGCUGAGGUUGGUACUUGUACCAACUGGAUGAGCAGCGAACGGGUGAGUAACGCGUGGGGAAUCUGCCUUUGAGCGGGGGACAACAUUUGGAAACGAAUGCUAAUACCGCAUAAAAACUUUAAACACAAGUUUUAAGUUUGAAAGAUGCAAUUGCAUCACUCAAAGAUGAUCCCGCGUUGUAUUAGCUAGUUGGUGAGGUAAAGGCUCACCAAGGCGAUGAUACAUAGCCGACCUGAGAGGGUGAUCGGCCACAUUGGGACUGAGACACGGCCCAAACUCCUACGGGAGGCAGCAGUAGGGAAUCUUCGGCAAUGGACGAAAGUCUGACCGAGCAACGCCGCGUGAGUGAAGAAGGUUUUCGGAUCGUAAAACUCUGUUGGUAGAGAAGAACGUUGGUGAGAGUGGAAAGCUCAUCAAGUGACGGUAACUACCCAGAAAGGGACGGCUAACUACGUGCCAGCAGCCGCGGUAAUACGUAGGUCCCGAGCGUUGUCCGGAUUUAUUGGGCGUAAAGCGAGCGCAGGUGGUUUAUUAAGUCUGGUGUAAAAGGCAGUGGCUCAACCAUUGUAUGCAUUGGAAACUGGUAGACUUGAGUGCAGGAGAGGAGAGUGGAAUUCCAUGUGUAGCGGUGAAAUUGCGUAGA